AUGUCGGGAGGCUUCUUCCGGGGGACGUCGGCCGACCAGGAUACCAGAUUCUCCAACAAGCAUGCCAAGCUGCUCAAGACGCAGAAGUUCGCGUCCGAGCUUGACCAUCAGGUGGACAUGUCAAAGGUGAAGAUGGACGUGAUGAAGCCGUGGAUUGCCACACGGGUCACCGAGCUUCUUGGGUUCGAGGACGAAGUGCUUAUCAACUUCAUCUACGGCCUGCUCGAUGCGAAGGAGGUGGACGGGAAGUACAUACAGAUCCAGCUGACAGGGUUCAUGGAGAAGAAUACAAUAAAAUUCAUGAGGGAGCUGUGGAGCCUCCUUCUCAGUGCGCAGCAGAAUGCCAGUGGUGUGCCCCAGCAAUUUUUGGAUGCAAAGGAGGCUGAGAUUCAGCAGAGAAAGGCGGAAGAGGCUAGAAUUGCCCAGGAGAUCCAGAAGAAGCGAGAGAAAGAUGGAAGGGACACAGAACUAGCUAAACACAAAAUGAUGGCCGGGGAUACUGGUAAUUCAAGAUUUCAUGGUGAUUCACUUGGCUCUGCUUUAAACAAUCCCAAUGUUGAUGCUGAGAAAGAAAAGGAACUGGACUUGAAGCAUAGCUCGAGAACAAAGAGCCGGGAACAUCGAAGACCUAGGAGCACAUCUUUGUCGCCCCGUGGUAGGCAACGGUCUAUUUCUCCAAGGAGGCGCUCUCCAUCCCCUUCCAGACAAAGAUCAUUGCGACGUUCAGCUUCACCUAGACGUUCUGUUUCCCCCCGAAGGCAUUCCCCAAGAAUUGCUCCUUCAGUGUCUAGGCGGAGGUCACCGUAUUCCAGGAGAUCACCUUCGGUACCUAGAUCGCCAUCACCUCGGCGGAGAUUUCCCAUUAGGAGAAGAUCUCCACCACCUGGGCGACGUAGAUCACCAUCUCCUUAUCGUCGUCGGUCCCCAGCUCGCGCACCUAGAAGAUCACCAUCUCCUGCGCGUCGCAGAUCACCUCCUCGACAUAGAUUACCAGCAGAUAGACACCGGUCCCCAUCUCCAGGAAGGCGCAGGCCACGGUCCCCAUCACCUGUAAGACGCAGGCCACGGUCCCCAUCACCUAGAAGACAUAGGCCACGUUCUCCAGGAAGACGACAGUCCCUGUCACCUCACCGCUCACCGCAGUUGAGGUCACCAAAACGCCAGAGAAAAUCCCCAAUUUCAAUUAGGACGCUUUCUGCAAAUCGUCCAGUCUCUCCACAGCGGAGGAGGAGUAGCAGUCCACACAGCAGGAGUCCAAAUCGCUCACGUAGGAGUUUGAGCAGGGACGCAGAAAAGGGAACAAACGAUGCACCCUCCACUAAAGGCAGGGAUCUGGCUCAAAGGAACCAAGAAAGGAGUGGCCGAGAGUCACCGGAUUUUGAACACCGUAGGCUCACAAAAUCCUUGAGGUCUCCUACUAAUGAUGCAGAAAGAGACUCCACACGUGGCAGUCCUUUGAAGGACACUGGAAAACAUAUGCCCAGUCAGGACAGCACAAAUACCAGUGGAGAUGAGGAAGAAGGCGGGCGUGCAAGGGAGAAUGCACGGAAGGCCAAUUCAUCACGCAGGAUAUCCAAGGAUUUCUCGUCUGAUCUGCAACUAAAGGAAGUCAACGUUGAUAACUCAAUCCCUGGAGAAAAACCCUCUUCCAGAUCAAGACAGGAUGGCGGCAAGGAUGUCCCCAAGAAAUAUGAUGAUCAGCUAUCAGAUUCAUCAGAAGAUGCGCUUGAUGGUAGAAGAAUGAGACGCCAGGGUGAUUCCCCUGACGAUUCUCGUGUGAAACGGCAGUCCCCUAGUAGAGCUGGUGACUCUUAUCCAAAGGAUGGGAUUAACAUUGAUCGUGCCAAAACGGAUUCACUUGGUGCUUCUUAUGAUGCUAUUGCAGCGAAGAAAUACUCUGGUAAAGUUGAUGAAGCUUCCCAAUCAGAUGGUGGAAGUCCUCUUCAAAAAGCUAAGAAAAGGACACAUGAUAGUAAACACAUUGAUCGUCGCAGUUCGGGCUCAGAAGAAUCUGAGAAACACAGAUCCCAGUCCGAGAAGCGAAGACAUAAAAAGGGUCACAAGCACAAGAAGCAUUAUGAUGAUAGUUCUGAUUCUGAUUCUGACUCAGAUGACAAGGAGUCCAAGAGGAGGAGGCGAGAAGAGAAAAAGCUGCGAAAAGAGGAAAGGCGCCUUAGACGUGAAGAACGGCACCGCAGAAGGGCGGACCGUCAUGCCAGUAAACAGAGAUUGAAGUAUGCUGGUUCUCCCCUGUCAGACCUUGAGAAGGAUCGUCAAUCUGGCUCAGAUGCUGAUGUAGGGAAGAAAGGUUCAUACACUCCGAGAGAAGAACCUGACCCAAACAAACUUGAAAUUGAGCUUCGACAGAGGGCCCUUGAAUCUCUUGCAAAGAAAUCAAAGCAUGUUGUUACUCCGUCUUCAGAUGUCGAGAAGGACCGUGAAUCUGACACGGAUGCUGAUGUUAGGAAGAGAGUUUCAUAG
This 2481-nucleotide ribosomal RNA is filed under the name Triticum aestivum (bread wheat). RNAcentral describes it as "partial small subunit ribosomal RNA". Lineage: Eukaryota; Viridiplantae; Streptophyta; Magnoliopsida; Poales; Poaceae. The record is from RNAcentral.